Octopus sinensis (East Asian common octopus) is the source of this 104-nucleotide small nuclear RNA. The record is from RefSeq and is a predicted model, not a curated record. Lineage: Eukaryota; Metazoa; Mollusca; Cephalopoda; Octopoda; Octopodidae.
AUAUAUGUUGCAAUACAUAUACUAAAACUGGAACGAUACAAAGAAGAUUAGCAAGGUCCCUGCGCAAGGAUAACAUGCAAAUUCCUAAAAUGUUUCCUAUUAUC